AAAAUUUCAGAAUUCCAAGAAAUUUCAAAAUUCCAAGAAAUUUCAAAAUUCCAAAAA
RNAcentral lists this small RNA (57 nucleotides) under Caenorhabditis elegans. RNAcentral describes it as "Unclassified non-coding RNA Y69H2.23". Lineage: Eukaryota; Metazoa; Nematoda; Chromadorea; Rhabditida; Rhabditidae. The record is from RNAcentral.